This 88-nucleotide non-coding RNA is filed under the name Centipeda felix. RNAcentral also lists the same sequence under 1 other name. Lineage: Bacteria; Bacillati; Bacillota; Negativicutes; Selenomonadales; Selenomonadaceae. The record is from RNAcentral.
AAGCACAAGGGGAGCCGAAAGGCUGAGAGUGGAUUCGAUCCUGACCCAUAACCUGAUUUGGAUAAUGCCAACGUAGGGAAAUAGGCCU